GAAUGCUGACAUAAGUAACGAUAAAGCGGGUGAAAAGCCCGCUCGCCGGAAGACCAAGGGUUCCUGUCCAACGUUAAUCGGGGCAGGGUGAGUCGACCCCUAAGGCGAGGCCGAAAGGCGUAGUCGAUGGGAAACAGGUUAAUAUUCCUGUACUUGGUGUUACUGCGAAGGGGGGACGGAGAAGGCUAUGUUAGCCGGGCGACGGUUGUCCCGGUUUAAGCAUGUAGGCUGGUUAUCCAGGCAAAUCCGGAUAAUCAAGGCUGAGGUGUGAUGACGAGGCACUACGGUGCUGAAGUAACAAAUGCCCUGCUUCCAGGAAAA
This 321-nucleotide ribosomal RNA is filed under the name Klebsiella quasipneumoniae subsp. similipneumoniae. RNAcentral's name for it is "partial 23S ribosomal RNA". It matches the Rfam family "Bacterial large subunit ribosomal RNA", at positions 1292 to 1616 of the family's 2925-position model. The record is from RNAcentral. Lineage: Bacteria; Pseudomonadati; Pseudomonadota; Gammaproteobacteria; Enterobacterales; Enterobacteriaceae. RNAcentral also lists the same sequence under 1 other name.